CGAUAGCGAACAAGUACCGUGAGGGAAAGUUGAAAAGCACUUUGAAGAGAGAGUUCAAGAGUACGUGAAACCGUUUAGGGGUAAACCUGAGAAACCCGAAAGGUCGAAGGGAGAAAUUCAUUCGCGUUUCGCAGCUGGCGUGAAGCGGUCGAGUGACGGAGGACGUUCGCGUUUUCCGCACCUUCCGUUUUUCGAUCUGGCAGCGAACGCGUGCACUUUUCUUCUGGUAGGACGUCGCGAUCCGUUGAGUGUCGGUUUACGGCUUGCGGUGGAGCCCGUACGUACGGUUCGCCGUUACUGUGCGGACCCGUUUGUCCCAACUGACUCGCUCGACGGUAUACGAACGGUUUUGGGCCGCUUCUUUAAGCGUUCGGCUCGUUACAAGCGCGCCAGAUGUGUCGGCCAUCGGACCUAGUGCCGGUUCUGACCUCUGGUGACUGUUGGUAACGAAGUUCUCGAACAGACCUUAAACCGAUCUGCGACGCUAUAGCUUUGGGUACUUUCAGGACCCGUCUUGAAACACGGACCAAGGAGUCUAGCAUGUACGCAAGUCAUUGGGAAUCACUAAACCUAAAGGCGUAAUGAAAGUAAAGGUCUUCCUAGCGAAGACUUAGGGAAGAUAAGCGGUUCGUUUCGGCGGCCGCUUCGCACUCC
This 654-nucleotide ribosomal RNA is filed under the name Athor sp. NZAC 03037681. Its description in RNAcentral is "partial large subunit ribosomal RNA". It matches the Rfam family "Eukaryotic large subunit ribosomal RNA", at positions 335 to 761 of the family's 3401-position model. The record is from RNAcentral. Lineage: Eukaryota; Metazoa; Arthropoda; Insecta; Coleoptera; Erirhinidae.